This 2930-nucleotide unclassified non-coding RNA is filed under the name Hevea brasiliensis (rubber tree). The record is from RNAcentral. Lineage: Eukaryota; Viridiplantae; Streptophyta; Magnoliopsida; Malpighiales; Euphorbiaceae.
UUUAAAAUUGACUCCUGCUUCGCCAUAUCCCACCAAGUCACUCGCGUCGCCUCUCUCAAACUCUAAACGAUGGCAGCCGCCGCGUCCUCGUCCGCCGUGAAGUCAGUACUUUCUGCUCCAUUGCUUUCCUCACCAUCAUCAUCGCUUAAGCCCAAUGCCUCGAGAUGCUUGCUAGGAUUUAUAUCCUCAUCUUCUCCAACGCUUAAGCCUCUGGUUUCUCGUGUACACACCAGACAAAAUGCCCCAUCAAAUGGAAGAUCAUCGCUUUCAGUUAAAAUGGUUUCCACUCCUUCCAUCACUCAUACGACGUCGCUUGAUUUCGAAACUUCCGUUUUCAAGAAAGAGAAGGUCACUCUUGCUGGUCACGAUGAGUAUAUUGUGAGGGGAGGGAGAGACCUGUUUCCCUUGUUGCCUGAUGCUUUCAAGGGGAUUAAGCAGAUUGGAGUCAUUGGCUGGGGAUCCCAGGGGCCAGCCCAAGCUCAAAAUUUGAGGGAUUCUCUUGCUGAAGCAAAAUCUGACAUUGUAGUAAAGGCAAGAUCUUCUUCCAUUUAUUAGUCUACCUUCUGUGUAUUAGCAAUUUAUCUUACAGAAAUUUGUUGUUUCUAAGAUUAGUAAAUGGCUUUGCAUGGUUAAAGGUUUCUCUCUCUCGCACAGUCAUAUUUCUAUUCAUAAUGCAAAUUUCAUCUUCAUUGUUUUGUUAUUGCAGAUUGGGCUGAGGAAGGGCUCCCGCUCUUUUGCUGAAGCUCGCGCUGCAGGGUUCACUGAAGAGAGUGGAACUCUAGGAGACAUAUGGGAAACCAUUGCUGGCAGUGAUCUUGUCUUGUUAUUGAUUUCUGAUGCAGCACAGGUUGGUGGAUCCUGUGCAAUUCUUCAUUUUUCUUGGUGGCAUGAGAUAUGUUUCAUGUUUUUAACAGUACUUUACAAAAUUGUCCGCUAAUUGUUGUGUUGAAAGUUUUUUUUUGAUAGUCAUAACUAUGGCUACCAUUGCUGCUGCUAAAAUUUUUCGGAGUUCUCAUUGCCUUUGAUGUUUGAUGUUAUUCGAAGUUGAUAUGAAUAAAUUGAUAACCGUGUCUUUUAGCUUUUAGCGCGAUCCUUUGAUCUUUGGCCUCCAUGGGAACAACUCUGCAGCUGUUGGAGCCAUACUUGGUUUUACAUUUGAUUCCUGUUCUAUUUCUUAUUGGAGUCCUUUCUUGUGGUACUUAUGUCCAACUUGUGUGCUGCAGGCAGAUAACUAUGAAAAGAUAUUCUCCCACAUGAAACCAAACAGCAUCCUUGGGCUCUCCCAUGGUUUUCUUCUUGGACAUUUGCAAUCCUUGGGGCUUGAUUUUCCUAAGAACAUAAGCGUUAUUGCUGUUUGCCCCAAGGGGAUGGGGCCUUCUGUACGGAGACUCUAUGUUCAGGGCAAAGAAAUCAAUGGUGCUGGAAUUAAUUCCAGUUUUGCUGUCCACCAGGAUGUUGCUGGUAGAGCUACAGAUGUUGCCUUGGGCUGGUCAGUAGCUCUGGGCUCGCCUUUCACAUUUGCAACCACAUUGGAGCAGGAGUAUAGGAGUGAUAUUUUUGGGGAGCGCGGCAUACUACUCGGUGCUGUUCAUGGAGUGGUUGAAUGCUUGUUCAGGAGGUACACUGAGAAUGGAAUGAAUGAAGAUUUGGCAUACAAAAAUACUGUUGAAUCCAUAACAGGAAUUAUAUCAAAAACCAUCUCAACUAAGGGCAUGUUGGCUGUUUACAACUCGUUGUCAGAAGAGGGAAAAAGGGACUUUGAGGCUGCAUAUAGUGCUUCAUACUAUCCUUGUAUGGAUAUCUUAUAUGAGUGUUAUGAAGAUGUUGCUAGUGGUAGUGAGAUUCGAAGUGUUGUUUUGGCUGGUCGUCGAUUCUAUGAGAAGGAGGGCCUUCCAGCUUUCCCAAUGGGUAAGAUUGAUCAAACACGGAUGUGGAAAGUGGGUGAGCGUGUUAGAGCAACACGGCCAAAGGGUGACUUGGGUCCCUUGUGUCCAUUCACUGCUGGUGUGUUUGUGGCAUUGAUGAUGGCUCAGAUUGAGGUCUUGAGGAAGAAGGGACAUUCAUACUCUGAAAUCAUUAAUGAGAGUUUGAUUGAAGCUGUGGAUUCCCUGAAUCCAUUCAUGCAUGCUCGAGGUGUCUCAUUCAUGGUUGAUAAUUGUUCAACAACUGCACGAUUAGGAUCAAGGAAAUGGGCACCUCGCUUUGAUUACAUCCUUACCCAACAGGCCUUUGUGGCAGUGGACGCAGGCACUCCCCUUAAUCAGGACCUUAUUGGCAACUUCCUGUCAGAUCCUGUUCAUGGGGCAAUUGAAGUCUGUGCCCAGCUGAGACCAACUGUUGACAUUUCAGUGCCUCCAGAUGCAGAUUUUGUUCGCCCAGAGUUGCGUCAGUCUGGCAAUUAGAUAUAAAGAAAUUUAGCUUUACCUCUAUGUAUUUUAUGAAGGUCUACUAGGAUGGAAGAUUUUGUAGGAGUGAAGUGGGUAGGAUUUGAUCUAAAUAAAGCCUUUAUCUUCUUGUCUGAAUAGUUCACCUGAGUAAUGCUUUUUAGUUUGAAUGUUGCAAGCACAUUAAAUGUCUGUUAAUUUGGAUGCUUUGUUUCUUUUAGUUGUUGGCAGUUAUGGAAAAUGUUUCUCUGUUGUUCCAUUACGGAGUUAUGGGAAAUAUUUCUUUGUUGUUCUAUUUAUCCCAUAAGUGAUCACGUUGCAGUUUUUCCGAUUCAAAUUCAUUUUGAAUUGAAUUGACGGAAAUCAUUUCCAUUCUCAAAAACUGGCUAUUAGUUGUUUUUCAAGUGUCAAAUUGGGUGAUGCAAGUCAAAAACUGAGGUGUCUAAACUUUUGAUGACACAUUUAUUCUUGAAAUUUGUAUCACAAAUUGACAUAAUUUGAAAUCAUGAUGUGUCCUAUCUAAAACCAUGGUAAGGUCUGUUAUAA